This is a small nucleolar RNA of Lolium rigidum, 120 nucleotides long. RefSeq annotates it as small nucleolar RNA SNORD14. The record is from RefSeq and is a predicted model, not a curated record. Lineage: Eukaryota; Viridiplantae; Streptophyta; Magnoliopsida; Poales; Poaceae. The transcript has a single exon.
UGUAAAUAAUGAUGAAAUCAAGGCUUGUUUCUCAAAACAUUGCAGUUGCCGCGUAAGAGCUUCUGCGCUGCCCAGCCUGAGAGCUAAGGAAACUAGAUCAUUCCUUGGAUGUCUGAUGCA